This 715-nucleotide long non-coding RNA is filed under the name Drosophila guanche. The record is from RNAcentral. Lineage: Eukaryota; Metazoa; Arthropoda; Insecta; Diptera; Drosophilidae.
GCAUUUUACAAAAUGUUUUCCAUUAUUUAGUUGAUUGGUUUAGUUGAUCUCCCCAGCCGCCCAAAAGAAUCAGAUAAAAUCCAUUUAACUUCAAUUUGUGCUCCAAAAGGAUGGAAGAGGCAGAGAGUAUCUGUUCGGGGACAUUUUAAAUAGAAAUGGAAGGAAACUCUCUUGCCAAUCCAUUUCACUGAUGCUCCAGCGCUGACACUGAUACAAUCGCCAUGUGCAUUUGGGUCCCGUCUCCUUUUUUGUCGCUCUCUGAAUAAUUCAAUUCAAUUUCCUAAGCUCAUAAAUAAGCCGCAGUCCAGACAGACCUACAGACAGACUUUACUUGUUAUUGGAAUUGUUAUGACAGGCCCACAGCCCAUGUCUAUUUAUUUGCAUGCGCACACAAAGGCCAUUUAAAAUUAUAUGUAUGUCCGCCAAACAGAUGCGAGUACGUCUCCAGAAAUCCCUUCGAUUGUCAAAAAACCGAGAUGGGAAUCAAUUCAAUAAAAAGAUUAAAUGAUUUUCCAAUGUCUGCGAUGUCCCCACCACGAUGAUGCCCAUCGCUGGUCUCACUUAAAAGGAUUAACAUUUCAUGCACUGCUCCAAGGGCGCUGCUAUUAAAGUAAUAUGGUUAAAUUCUGAGUUAGGGUAUUUUCCAUAAUUCAUGCAAGGGACUAUAAGGGCUGCUGAGUACUCCCUUUGCUCCCCACACACACAUGCAUUUGUA